UACGGGGGGUGCGAGCGUUGUCCGGAAUCACUGGGCGUAAAGCGCACGUAGGCGGUCUGUUAUGUCGGAUGUGAAAGCCCUUGGCUCAACUGAGGAAGUGCAUCCGAAACUGGCAGGCUAGAGUACUAAAGAGGGUCGCGGAAUUCCGGUGUAGAGGUGAAAUUCGUAGAUAUCGGGAGGAACACCGGUGGCGAAGGCGGCGACCUGGGUAGAUACUGACGCUGAGGUGGCGAAAGCGUGGGGAGCAAACAGGGAUUAAGAAACCCC
RNAcentral lists this ribosomal RNA (267 nucleotides) under uncultured bacterium. RNAcentral's name for it is "partial 16S ribosomal RNA". It matches the Rfam family "Bacterial small subunit ribosomal RNA", at positions 524 to 788 of the family's 1533-position model. The record is from RNAcentral.